Molecule: ribosomal RNA, 464 nt
Filed under: uncultured bacterium
Lineage: Bacteria
Description: partial 16S ribosomal RNA
Rfam family: Bacterial small subunit ribosomal RNA
Source: RNAcentral
GACGAACGCUGGCGGCGUGCUUAACACAUGCAAGUCGUACGGUAAGGCCCUUUCGUGGGUCCACUAUUGAGAACGGGUGAGUAACACGUGAGUAACCGGCCCACAACUUUUGGAUAACGCUCGGCAACUGGUGCCAAUUCCUGAUAUGUCCUCCUGCCGCUUGGCGUGGGUUGGAAAGCUGCGGUGGUCGUUGAUGUACGCGCGGCCUAUGCGCGUGUUGGGGGGGUAGUGUGCUACCAUGGCGGCGGCGGGUAGCCGGCCUGCGGGGGUGACCGGGCACGAUGGGACUGAGAGACGGACCAGACGCGUACGGGAGGCAGUGGUGGGGAAUAUUGCAGAAUGGGCGCGAGCCUGAUGCAGCAACGCCGCGUGCGGGAUGACGGGCUUGGGGUUGAAAACCGCUGUCAGCAGGGACGAAGCUUUUUGUGACGGUAACUGCAGAAGAAGCAACGGCUAACUACGUG